Long non-coding RNA from Daktulosphaira vitifoliae (grape phylloxera), 1026 nucleotides. RefSeq lists it as uncharacterized. NCBI's taxonomy places the organism in Eukaryota, Metazoa, Arthropoda, Insecta, Hemiptera, Phylloxeridae. The record is from RefSeq and is a predicted model, not a curated record. The transcript is spliced from 3 exons.
UAAUUUGAAAUAUAAAUUACCUUUUGUAAUAUAUAUUCACCGAAAAAAUUGUUCAAAAAUUGAUGAUAUAAACUAAUGACAACAAAAAGUACUAAUGCAAUUGAUUCACCAGUUCCAAAGCUCAUCUAAAAGAUUGUAAAUUGAUAUUGCGGGAAAAAUGAAAAAAAGUCGGCGUUAUCGAAUCAAAAUAUCGUUAUCGUUGACGAGCUUUAUUAGUUAUUAUGAAAUUAUUUAUACUCAGUAGAUUUUCCAACAACUAAAGAGUGAAACAACCUAGUUAAUAUAAUUUUAGACAUUUUAAGAAGAAACAAUAUAAUAAACACAAAAUAUAUAAAACUCAUUAUGUACAUAAGUACACAGAGAAAUCAUAUUUUUUCCAAACUACCAAAAAUGUAUUUUUUUUAUAAAAUUAGACUUUUCUGUUUUUGCACUGAACCCUUAAUUUAGCCAUAUCACUAAACUAAAGAAUGAAAACUACUUAAUUGUUAUACAUAAUAUUGAUUAAUUAUAGCUCUCCAUAAUUUAUCAAAAAUAGUUACAGGUUAUGAUGAAUCGUCCAAUUAUAAUGCUGAUCAAAUAAAAUGAAUAUUAUGUACAACGUACCUAAUUUCAAACGAUCUGAAAUAUUGUUUAAUGUUGUGUUGAGUAAAUUAAUUUGACCACCAAUCGCAUAGAUUGAUCCAAACAUAUAUGUGUCAAUUGCUAAGUACAUGUUAGUUGCAGCAAUAAGUACAACUGCAUGUACAAUAAUUAUUCCUGUAAAUAUCUGAUAAUUAUUUACUGUGAAUGGAAUCCAGCAACUCAAAGGAUAACUCUUGGGAUCAUUGAAAUAAGCGCUGUCUGAUCGACCACUGUAGAAGUAUAAUAAAAUUGAACAAAACCUAUUUAUUGGCCGUAAAUGAUUUCUUGUAAAUUGUUGAGCUUCCGAACCAUAAGAUACCAAUCCUUGAGUUUGUAUUUGAACAAGUUGCGUAUCAAAAACAAUAAACUCAUCACUAAAUUUUACCAUACAAUACCAUUUAUACA